AGCAGGGAGCAGGGCGGCGAUCCUGCCGGGGCCGUGCCUGGCGGCGGGGCUGUGGGGGGUCUCUUUGCUUUUCCGUGGCCUUGGGGUACCCGGCGCGUUCCGGCGCUGUGUCGGAGAUGCUCCUGAAUGCGUAGGAACAGUAAUUGCCGCCUCUCGUCCUCAGAGCAGGGAGAACUGCUGCGGGGCUCCCGAGUUCCCCUCUCUCCCUGUCCCGUCGUUGGGAGCCCGGCGUAUGUCACAGGCAACGUCUGUAGUGAACUGAAAAUACCGUGGGUUUAUCCCGCUCAGAAUUCCAGAACCACAUCGCUCUGCCAUGAAUGAAUAUUGACUCGUGAACAGGUGAGCCUGCUGAUCAGCACACAUCCAGACCUGUGGUUUAAGGACAGUGGCAAACAGCUGAAAAAGUAUUAAUUACUGUCACGGUCUUCCAUUGACAUUAACUGCAUUUUGAAUGCCUUCCCCAGUGUGCCCAAAUACCUUAAGAAAUGCUCUCAAUGAAGGCACUCGGUUCAGCUCGGGCCCAGUCCAGAAAAAAACAGUGUUUGUCCUCAGAGGGAAAUAUUAAAAAGAAAUGGCCAAAACACACUCACUGUCUCUUGUCUGGAGUAAACAGCCCUCGCUCAUCAGGAUAUUGCAAAAUCUCAAUGUCGUCUUUGCAUCGGUCUCAGAAAUGCCUUCUUUCAUGUUUGAGUCUAUUAGAUUAUUUUAUUCUGGACAAUGACUCAGGACAUAAUAAGCCACAUGUUUAUCACAGCCAUGUCAGAUAGCUGGAACUCAUGCUAUCUGAAGUGAACUGUGGGGAUUUGCGUAGGUUUCGGCAAGUACAAAACAGAUGCUCUUCCCAGUGGCUCUGGUUUAUGUAUGUACAGGCAGUGAGUCUGUGCACAUAUUCCUUCCCUGGCUGCAGCAUAAGCAAACCUCGAUCUUCACUCCUGAAGAGAUUAAUCGUUCAGGCUGAGGCUGUAUUUCACCCUUAAUAAUUCUUGUGGAAACUGUGCCCCUCUGGAACAAGGAACAAAACAAAGUCUGGCAUAAAAUUUGUGAGAGCUGAACAAAAUUCAGCUGAACCAAACCAGCUGUUGAACUCUUUUGCACAGUGGCUCCAGUAAAUUGGGAAUAUGAUCACUUUUUAGGUAGUGCUGAGGUUUCUUUCCCUUCAAGAGAAUUGUUAUGGCAUACAUAAAUUUCUAUUCAGACUUCUUUUAAAAAUCCCCAACAUAAACCCUCUUUUAGGCAGACCUUGAGUCUUGAAAGUACCAGAGACAUCCCAAAGUUUGCUCUGAUAUUAAUUUUAUGUAAAACAUGAUCUGAU
Molecule: long non-coding RNA, 1312 nt
Organism: Gallus gallus (chicken)
Lineage: Eukaryota; Metazoa; Chordata; Aves; Galliformes; Phasianidae
Source: Ensembl